RNAcentral lists this long non-coding RNA (337 nucleotides) under Gossypium raimondii (Peruvian cotton). RNAcentral describes it as "long non-coding RNA (GRAI_LNC009226)". The record is from RNAcentral. Lineage: Eukaryota; Viridiplantae; Streptophyta; Magnoliopsida; Malvales; Malvaceae.
ACCACUAAAGUUGACAAAUGUUUGUGUCACACAAUCAAAAUACCCAAAAUUAAAAUUUUGGGGCAUUACAAGAAGAAUUGUCAAAUGACAGAAAAAAGCAAAGAAAGAGGAAGAACUAACGUUAGAUUUUUUUUGAGAGAGAGAAAAUCAAAUUUUUGAAAAAACAAAAACAAAAAUAAAAUCUAAUAACUCCAAAUAUCCCAACUCCCACUAUCUUCUUAACCACAACUACCCACUCACACAAACUCCCAAUCCCAUCCAAACUCUCUCAGUCAAUUAAGACAAAAAUUAACAUUCACCCUUACACAAGGAUUCGAACAUAGGACCUCCAACACGC